RNAcentral lists this ribosomal RNA (253 nucleotides) under uncultured bacterium. RNAcentral's name for it is "partial 16S ribosomal RNA". It matches the Rfam family "Archaeal small subunit ribosomal RNA", at positions 474 to 727 of the family's 1478-position model. The record is from RNAcentral.
UACCAGCACCCCGAGUGGUCGGGGCGAUUAUUGGGCCUAAAGCAUCCGUAGCCGGUUCUGCAAGUCCUCCGUUAAAUCCAACUGCUUAACAGAUGGGCCGCGGAGGAUACUACAGAGCUAGGAGGCAGGAGAGGCAAGCGGUACUCAGUGGGUAGGGGUAAAAUCCGUUGAUCCAUUGAAGACCACCAGUGGCGAAGGCGGCUUGCCAGAAUGCGCUCGACGGUGAGGGAUGAAAGCUGGGGGAGCAAACCGG